Molecule: long non-coding RNA, 1034 nt
Organism: Saccostrea echinata
Lineage: Eukaryota; Metazoa; Mollusca; Bivalvia; Ostreida; Ostreidae
Exons: 3
Source: RefSeq, a predicted model, not a curated record
AAAUCAGAUCAGAGCAAAGCUGAUGGGUAACAAAGAAGUUGAUGUAGAGGGUCCCUCCAUUAAGUCUCUACAUAAUUAUCGAUGAAAAUGUUUCCUUCCUCCUACAAUUAUGCUAACAAAUCCAGAGAGGGAAUACUUCACACUGAUGCUAGUAUGAUGCUAGUAUGAAAACAAGAUUAUUCUGUGCCACAAACAAAUUGUUCAGAAAGGGGACAUUGGUGGAUUUGCAUUUUGGGUACAGUUCAAAGAAUUUUCAAAAUGAUGAUGGAAGAUCAGAGGGAGGACAAAUGGGAAAAGUUGACAGAGAAAGAAAAGAAUUAGGAAAUAUCUGGAAUAAAUAUGAAUGAGAAGGAUGUACUUAAUUUUGUCAGACUUUGGCAUGCAAGGCUUUCUACAUUUAUAUGUAUACUGGAAUAUCAUUUUGAUUGUAAAAUCUCAUUCUAAUGUAUUCACAUUUUAUAUUUCAUGCUUUAUGCAUAAAUACAUAAACAUUUUUAUGAAAAACUAUAUAUAUGUAUAUAUGUAUCUUUGUUCGAUCGAGACAUCAUCCUUUGUGAUUUCAUACUCAUUUAUGUGUUAAAUAUGCUGUAGGUACAUGUAAUCUGAAUUACUUAUGAUUUGUCAUAAAUUUACAAUAGAGAUUACAUAUAUUGACAAAUGUUGUUGCAGAUAUUUCAAUUUUGCUAAGGACACUUCCAUGUCAUAUAGUAUUUUUAUACAAGUUCAUGAUCUAAUUAUGUUAUUCAUUGGUACAUGUAUACAUGUUCGUCUCCUUGAUCAUUUUGCUGAAAUCCUUUCAAAUAAUUUGUACUCGUUUUAGAAUAUGUAAAAUACAUGUAUCGACAAAUGCUACUGACUUGUUUGUAUACUUUCUUGUUUAAAGUGUGCACUGUGUGAUAUUAGUUAUUUCUGUUGAUGAAGAUACUUUUGGAAAAUUGUGCAAGCAUUAUCAAAUAUUUACAGGUAUUUAACAGAUCAUUGGAAUGUACUGAAAUUUCAUCUAAAGCAGAAAUACCUGAUUUUCAAUGUGUACA